Molecule: unclassified non-coding RNA, 350 nt
Filed under: uncultured fungus
Lineage: Eukaryota; Fungi
Description: partial contains small subunit ribosomal RNA, internal transcribed spacer 1, and 5.8S ribosomal RNA
Rfam family: Eukaryotic small subunit ribosomal RNA (bases 1-73)
Source: RNAcentral
CCAAACUUGGUCAUUUAGAGGAAGUAAAAGUCGUAACAAGGUUUCCGUAGGUGAACCUGCGGAAGGAUCAUUAGUGAAUGAACUUGGUCAAGCUGUUGCUGGCCUCUUAGGGGGCAUCGUGCACGCUUGAUCCUUGUUUCCAACCACCUGUGCACCUUUUGUAGGCUUGGAGUUUUUAUUAGGGGUUGCUGCCGUUUUUAUUUCAUGAAAGCCAGCUCUCCUUGUUGCUCCGGUCUAUGUCUUUUCACAUACCCAAAUGUAUCAGAAUGUUCAUUAGGCAUUUGAUGCCUUUAAUAUGUACAACUUUCAACAACGGAUCUCUUGGCUCUCGCAUCGAUGAAGAACGCAGC